CACGUAGGCACCAAGCGUUGUCCGGAUUUAUUGGGCGUAAAGAGCUCGUAGGCGGUUCAGUAAGUCGGGUGUGAAAACUUUGGGCUUAACCCAAAGCGUGCAUCCGAUACUGCUGUGACUUGAGUUCGGUAGGGGAGUGGGGAAUUCCUAGUGUAGCGGUGAAAUGCGCAGAUAUUAGGAGGAACACCGGUGGCGAAGGCGCCACUCUGGGCCGAAACUGACGCUGAGGAGCGAAAGCAUGGGUA
This 245-nucleotide ribosomal RNA is filed under the name uncultured bacterium. RNAcentral describes it as "partial 16S ribosomal RNA". It matches the Rfam family "Bacterial small subunit ribosomal RNA", at positions 524 to 767 of the family's 1533-position model. The record is from RNAcentral.